RNAcentral lists this ribosomal RNA (329 nucleotides) under Roseobacter denitrificans. RNAcentral describes it as "bacterial SSU rRNA". It matches the Rfam family "Bacterial small subunit ribosomal RNA", at positions 408 to 754 of the family's 1533-position model. Lineage: Bacteria; Pseudomonadati; Pseudomonadota; Alphaproteobacteria; Rhodobacterales; Roseobacteraceae. The record is from RNAcentral.
AUGAAGGCCUUAGGGUCGUAAAGCUCUUUCGCCAGGGAUGAUAAUGACAGUACCUGGUAAAGAAACCCCGGCUAACUCCGUGCCAGCAGCCGCGGUAAUACGGAGGGGGUUAGCGUUGUUCGGAAUUACUGGGCGUAAAGCGCGCGUAGGCGGAUCAGAAAGUUGGGGGUGAAAUCCCGGGGCUCAACCCCGGAACUGCCUCCAAAACUCCUGGUCUUGAGUUCGAGAGAGGUGAGUGGAAUUCCGAGUGUAGAGGUGAAAUUCGUAGAUAUUCGGAGGAACACCAGUGGCGAAGGCGGCUCACUGGCUCGAUACUGACGCUGAGGUGC